RNAcentral lists this ribosomal RNA (406 nucleotides) under uncultured bacterium. RNAcentral's name for it is "partial 16S ribosomal RNA". It matches the Rfam family "Bacterial small subunit ribosomal RNA", at positions 30 to 526 of the family's 1533-position model. The record is from RNAcentral.
AUUGAACGCUGGCGGCAGGCCUAACACAUGCAAGUCGAACGAGUGGCGGACGGGUGAGUAAUGUCUGGGCAACUGCCUGAUGGAGGGGGAUAACUACUGGAAACGGUAGCUAAUACCGCAUACCAUCAGAUCUGACCAGAUGGGAUUAGCUAGGUGGUGGGGUAAAGGCGCACCAAGGCGACGAUCCCUAGCUGGUCUGAGAGGAUGACCAGCCACACUGGAACUGAGACACGGUCCAGACUCCUACGGUAGGCAGCAGUGGGGAAUAUUGCACAAUGGGCGCAAGCCUGAUGCAGCAAUGCCGCGUGUAUGAAGAAGGCCUUCGGGUUGUAAAGUACUUUCAGCGGGGAGGCGUUACCCGCAGAAGAAGCACCGGCUAACUCCGUGCCAGCAGCCGCGGUAAUUC